Molecule: ribosomal RNA, 1131 nt
Filed under: Vibrio parahaemolyticus
Lineage: Bacteria; Pseudomonadati; Pseudomonadota; Gammaproteobacteria; Vibrionales; Vibrionaceae
Description: partial 23S ribosomal RNA
Rfam family: Bacterial large subunit ribosomal RNA
Source: RNAcentral
GUUUAUUAAAAACACAGCACUGUGCAAAAUCGUAAGAUGACGUAUACGGUGUGACGCCUGCCCGGUGCCGGAAGGUUAAUUGAUGGGGUUAGACUUCGGUCGAAGCUCUUGAUCGAAGCCCCGGUAAACGGCGGCCGUAACUAUAACGGUCCUAAGGUAGCGAAAUUCCUUGUCGGGUAAGUUCCGACCUGCACGAAUGGCGUAAUGAUGGCCACGCUGUCUCCACCCGAGACUCAGUGAAAUUGAAAUCGCUGUGAAGAUGCAGUGUACCCGCGGCUAGACGGAAAGACCCCGUGAACCUUUACUACAGCUUGGCACUGAACAUUGACCCUACAUGUGUAGGAUAGGUGGGAGGCUUUGAAGCACGUACGCCAGUAUGUGUGGAGCCGUCCUUGAAAUACCACCCUUGUAGUGUUGAUGUUCUAACGUCGACCCCUAAUCGGGGUUGCGGACAGUGCCUGGUGGGUAGUUUGACUGGGGCGGUCUCCUCCCAAAGAGUAACGGAGGAGCACGAAGGUGGGCUAAUCACGGUUGGACAUCGUGAGGUUAGUGCAAUGGCAUAAGCCCGCUUGACUGCGAGAAUGACAAUUCGAGCAGGUGCGAAAGCAGGUCAUAGUGAUCCGGUGGUUCUGAAUGGAAGGGCCAUCGCUCAACGGAUAAAAGGUACUCCGGGGAUAACAGGCUGAUACCGCCCAAGAGUUCAUAUCGACGGCGGUGUUUGGCACCUCGAUGUCGGCUCAUCACAUCCUGGGGCUGAAGUCGGUCCCAAGGGUAUGGCUGUUCGCCAUUUAAAGUGGUACGCGAGCUGGGUUUAGAACGUCGUGAGACAGUUCGGUCCCUAUCUGCCGUGGGCGUUGGAAGAUUGAAGGGGGCUGCUCCUAGUACGAGAGGACCGGAGUGGACGAACCUCUGGUGUUCGGGUUGUGUCGCCAGACGCAUUGCCCGGUAGCUAAGUUCGGAAUCGAUAACCGCUGAAAGCAUCUAAGCGGGAAGCGAGCCCUGAGAUGAGUCUUCCCUGAUACUUUAAGUAUCCUAAAGGGUUGUCGGAGACUACGACGUUGAUAGGUCAGGUGUGUAAGUGCUGUGAGGCAUUGAGCUAACUGAUACUAAUUGCCCGUGAGGCUUAACCAU